GAUCGUGUAGCUCAGCCGGUAGAGCAACGGCCUUUUAAGCCGUGGGCCCUGGGUUCGAGUCCCAGCACGAUCACCA
Molecule: transfer RNA, 76 nt
Filed under: Saprospiraceae bacterium
Lineage: Bacteria; Pseudomonadati; Bacteroidota; Saprospiria; Saprospirales; Saprospiraceae
Also listed under: 1 other name
Description: tRNA-Lys
Rfam family: tRNA
About the family: Transfer RNA (tRNA) molecules are approximately 80 nucleotides in length.
Source: RNAcentral